Molecule: ribosomal RNA, 239 nt
Filed under: uncultured bacterium
Lineage: Bacteria
Description: partial 16S ribosomal RNA
Rfam family: Bacterial small subunit ribosomal RNA
Source: RNAcentral
GAUCCGGCUCAGGAUGAACGCUGGCGGCGUGCCUAAUACAUGCAAGUCGAACGCGAGCACUUGUGCUCGAGUGGCGAACGGGUGAGUAAUACAUAAGUAACCUGCCCUAGACAGGGGGAUAACUAUUGGAAACGAUAGCUAAGACCGCAUAGGUACGGACACUGCAUGGUGACCGUAUUAAAAGUGCCUCAAAGCACUGGUAGAGGAUGGACUUAUGGCGCAUUAGCUGGUUGGCGGGG